RNAcentral lists this ribosomal RNA (460 nucleotides) under uncultured bacterium. Its description in RNAcentral is "partial 16S ribosomal RNA". It matches the Rfam family "Bacterial small subunit ribosomal RNA", at positions 338 to 795 of the family's 1533-position model. The record is from RNAcentral.
CCUACGGGGGGCAGCAGUGAGGAAUAUUGGUCAAUGGGCGCGAGCCUGAACCAGCCAAGUCGCGUGAGGGAUGAAGGUUCUAUGGAUCGUAAACCUCUUUUAUAAGGGAAUAAAGUGUGGGACGUGUCCUAUUUUGUAUGUACCUUAUGAAUAAGGAUCGGCUAACUCCGUGCCAGCAGCCGCGGUAAUACGGAGGAUCCGAGCGUUAUCCGGAUUUAUUGGGUUUAAAGGGUGCGUAGGCGGGCUUUUAAGUCAGCGGUGAAAGUCUGUGGCUCAACCAUGGAAUUGCCGUUGAAACUGGGGGGCUUGAGGAUGUUUGGGGCAGGCGGAAUGCGUGGUGUAGCGGUGAAAUGCUUAGAUAUCACGAAGAACCCCGAUUGCGAAGGCAGCCUGCCAAGCCAUGACUGACGCUGAUGCACGAAAGCGUGGGGAGCAAACAGGAUUAGAUACCCUUGUAGUC